GAUGAACGCUGGCGGCGUGCCUAAUACAUGCAAGUCGAGCGAACAGAUAAGGAGCUUGCUCCUUUGACGUUAGCGGCUGACGGGUGAGUAACACGUGGGUAACCUACUUCUAUUACUUGAAUAAUUCCGGGAAACCGCUGCCACUGCUGGAUAACAUUUCGUACCGCUUGGUUCUAAAGUUCUUCAUGGCUUUGCUGUCACUUUUAGAUGGUCUCGCGCCGUAUUAGUUAGUUGGUAAGGUCACGGCUUACCAAGGCAACGAUACGUAGCCGACCUGAGAGGGUGAUCGGCCACACUGGAACUGAGACACGGUCCAGACUCCUACGGGAGGCAGCAGUAGGGAAUCUUCCGCAAUGGGCGAAAGCCUGACGGAGCAACGCCGCGUGAGUGAAGAAGGUCUUCGGAUCGUAAAACUCUGUUAUUAGGGAAGAACAGAUGUGUAAGUAACUGUGCACGUCUUGACGGUACCUAAACAGAAAGCAACGGCUAACUACGUG
Molecule: ribosomal RNA, 497 nt
Filed under: uncultured bacterium
Lineage: Bacteria
Description: partial 16S ribosomal RNA
Rfam family: Bacterial small subunit ribosomal RNA
Source: RNAcentral